UUUCCGUAGGUGAACCUGCGGAAGGAUCAUUAUCGAAUUUCGAGGGGAAGGAAGAUGAGGAGUGGAGACUGUCGCUGGCUUUCCCGCCUGGGGAGCAUGUGAACGCCUUGCUUUUCGUUGACCUUUCUCUUACUCUCACACCUGUGCACCCAUUGUAGGUCCUCGAAAGAGGAUCUAUGCUUUUAUCAUCACACGCAUCGUAUGUCCAUAGAAUGUAACAUGAUCGUCGAUCGACCUCGCGGUCGGGUGGCGGUCUAAAUAAAUAAAUACAACUUUCAGCAACGGAUCUCUUGGCUCUC
Molecule: unclassified non-coding RNA, 299 nt
Filed under: plant metagenome
Description: partial contains small subunit ribosomal RNA, internal transcribed spacer 1, and 5.8S ribosomal RNA
Source: RNAcentral